AACCUUUAGCUAAACAAAUAUUAAAGGCAACGCCUGCCCAGUGAACAAUUCAACGGCCGCGGUACCCUAACCGUGCAAAGGUAGCAUAAUCAUUUGUCUAUUAAUUAUAGACCAGUAUGAACGGCAAAAUGAGGGUCUGACUGUCUCUUAUAGUAAAUCAAUUAAACUGAUCUUUUAGUAAAAAAGCUAAAAUUACAACAUAAGACCAGAAGACCCUGUGAAGCUUAAACUAAACUAUUAAACCACAUAAUAGCUACUUUCGGUUGGGGCGACCUUGGAAAAAAAAAGAACUUCCAACAAACAUUAAUUAGGCCAACAAGCCAACAAACUAGACCCAGCAAAGCUGAUAAUUGAACCAAGUUACUCCAGGGAUAACAGCGCAAUCUUCUUCAAGAGUCCAUAUCAAAAAGAAGGUUUACGACCUCGAUGUUGGAUCAGGACAUCCUAAUGGUGCAGAAGCUAUUAAGGGUUCGUUUGUUCAACGAUUAAUAGUCCC
RNAcentral lists this ribosomal RNA (496 nucleotides) under Chrysopelea ornata. RNAcentral's name for it is "partial 16S ribosomal RNA". It matches the Rfam family "Bacterial large subunit ribosomal RNA", at positions 1816 to 2597 of the family's 2925-position model. Lineage: Eukaryota; Metazoa; Chordata; Lepidosauria; Squamata; Colubridae. The record is from RNAcentral.